This 775-nucleotide ribosomal RNA is filed under the name uncultured Neocallimastigales. Its description in RNAcentral is "partial large subunit ribosomal RNA". It matches the Rfam family "Eukaryotic large subunit ribosomal RNA", at positions 23 to 635 of the family's 3401-position model. The record is from RNAcentral. Lineage: Eukaryota; Fungi; Neocallimastigomycota; Neocallimastigomycetes; Neocallimastigales.
AGAGAUGUGUGAUGACGCAUAUCAAUAAGCGGAGGAAAAGAAACUAGCAAGGAUUCCCUUAGUAACGGCGAGUGAAGCGGGAAGAGCUCAAAUUUGAAAUCUUCAAGGUUCUACCUUGACGAAUUGUAGUUUAUAGAAGUGUUUUCUGUUAGUGGAGUGGCAAAAGUUCUUUGGAAUAGGACAUCAUAGAGGGUGAGAAUCCCGUAUUUGGUCAUUCCUCCUAGCGUUGUGAUACACUUUCAACGAGUCGGAUUGUUUGGGAAUGCAGUCCAAAAUGGGUAGUAAAUUUCAUCUAAAGCUAAAUAUUGGCGAGAGACCGAUAGCGAACAAGUACCGUGAGGGAAAGAUGAAAAGAACUUUGAAAAGAGAGUUAAACAGUACGUGAAAUUGUCAAAAGGGAAGCGUUUGACACCAGUGUUGUUUUUCCGAAAAUCAAUUACGAAUGUUUUGUUUUUAAGAAGUUAUGACUUCAUCGGCUUGCUUCUUUCUUUAUGAAACUUUCUUAAUGCACUUUUCGGUUAACAAGUCAACAUCAAUUUCUUUUGUUGUAAAAGAGUAUUGGGAAGGUGGCUUUCUUUUCGGAGAAAGUGUUUAUAGCCUUGUGCCUCUGCAAUCGGAAGAGAUUGAGGUCUGCAGCGUAGAUCCUUCGGGGUUAGAUACAUUUGUGCUAAGUUAUAGUCUUUUAUAGACAACUUGUUGACUAUGUUAAGUCUUGUAGCUUACUCGCUUAUGCUAUUUUACCUACGCUUAGGAUGUUGAAGAUGUAGCACAUCAU